This is a long non-coding RNA of Acanthopagrus latus (yellowfin seabream), 290 nucleotides long. RefSeq lists it as uncharacterized. NCBI's taxonomy places the organism in Eukaryota, Metazoa, Chordata, Actinopteri, Spariformes, Sparidae. The record is from RefSeq and is a predicted model, not a curated record. The transcript is spliced from 3 exons.
GUUUGUGUGCGUGUAGACGGAAGAGGGUGUGACAAACAACAAGCCCACCGCAUGACUGUAACCAGAGAGGCAGAGACAAUUGUGGAGCAAACCAUAAAACAGAUGUUACAUGCGGAGACAAGUGUUCCUGGAUGAAAUGCAGGACUGAUGAAACGCACACAGUGCUGCAACUUUGGAGCCAGUUAAUCUAAAGCUCAGCACUUAGGGCUUGAGUGCCACACUCUGCAACUGGAGAAUGGACUUCCUCACGAACAGACACCAGACAGGCUGGAUUGGUGGUCACAUCUUCG